GUGAACCUUUACUAUAGCUUGACACUGAACAUUGAGCCUUGAUGUGUAGGAUAGGUGGGAGGCUUUGAAGUGUGGACGCCAGUCUGCAUGGAGCCGGCCUUGAAAUACCACCCUUUAAUGUUUGAUGUUCUAACGUGGACCCGUGAUCCGGGUUGCGGACAGUGUCUGGUGGGUAGUUUGACUGGGGCGGUCUCCUCCUAAAGAGUAACGGAGGAGCACGAAGGUUGGCUAAUCCUGGUCGGACAUCAGGAGGUUAGUGCAAUGGCAUAAGCCAGCUUGACUGCGAGCGUGACGGCGCGAGCAGGUGCGAAAGCAGGUCAUAGUGAUCCGGUGGUUCUGAAUGGAAGGGCCAUCGCUCAACGGAUAAAAGGUACUCCGGGGAUAACAGGCUGAUACCGCCCAAGAGUUCAUAUCGACGGCGGUGUUUGGCACCUCGAUGUCGGCUCAUCACAUCCUGGGGCUGAAGUAGGUCCCAAGGGUAUGGCUGUUCGCCAUUUAAAGUGGUACGCGAGCUGGGUUUAGAACGUCGUGAGACAGUUCGGUCCCUAUCUGCCGUGGGCGCUGGAGAACUGAGGGGGGCUGCUCCUAGUACGAGAGGACCGGAGUGGACGCAUCACUGGUGUUCGGGUUGUCAUGCCAAUGGCACUGCCCGGUAGCUAAAUGCGGAAGAGAUAAGUGCUGAAAGCAUCUAAGCACGAAACUUGCCCCGA
This 710-nucleotide ribosomal RNA is filed under the name Salmonella enterica. Its description in RNAcentral is "partial 23S ribosomal RNA". It matches the Rfam family "Bacterial large subunit ribosomal RNA", at positions 2093 to 2802 of the family's 2925-position model. The record is from RNAcentral. RNAcentral also lists the same sequence under 2 other names. Lineage: Bacteria; Pseudomonadati; Pseudomonadota; Gammaproteobacteria; Enterobacterales; Enterobacteriaceae.